GAAUAUUGGACAAUGGGGGGAACCCUGAUCCAGCCAUGCCGCGUGUGUGAAGAAGGCCUUUUGGUUGUAAAGCACUUUAAGCGAGGAGGAGGCUACUCUAGUUAAUACCUAGAGAUAGUGGACGUUACUCGCACAAUAAGCACCGGCUAACUCUGUUCCAGCAGCCGCGGGAAUACCGAGGGUGCGAGCGUUAAUCGGAUUUACUGGGCGUAAAGCGUGCGUAGGCGGCCAAUUAAGUCAAAUGUGAAAUCCCCGAGCUUAACUUGGGAAUUGCAUUCGAUACUGGUUGGCUAGAGUAUGGGAGAGGAUGGUAGAAUUCCAGGUGUAGCGGUGAAAUGCGUAGAGAUCUGGAGGAAUACCGAUGGCGAAGGCAGCCAUCUGGCCUAAUACUGACGCUGAGGUACGAAAGCAUGGGGAGCAAACAG
RNAcentral lists this ribosomal RNA (425 nucleotides) under uncultured bacterium. RNAcentral describes it as "bacterial SSU rRNA". It matches the Rfam family "Bacterial small subunit ribosomal RNA", at positions 359 to 775 of the family's 1533-position model. The record is from RNAcentral.